RNAcentral lists this long non-coding RNA (684 nucleotides) under Anas platyrhynchos platyrhynchos (common mallard). RNAcentral's name for it is "lncRNA (ENSAPLG00000023249.1)". The record is from RNAcentral. Lineage: Eukaryota; Metazoa; Chordata; Aves; Anseriformes; Anatidae.
AAUUGAUAUAACGUCUCUCUAAUGAAAUUAGAGCAUGCGUUUUAGCCGUAUGUCUUAAUUACAAGAUUGGGCAAAACCGGUUUAUAAAAUUGCUUGGUAUCACUGUUGCUAAAACCCAGUUUCUUGUUUUUUCCAUGUUUGUUAAACCACAUAUUUUUUUGGAUGAUAUGUCUGGUGUCUACCUCCACAAUGCAUUUUGGGAGGGGAGGGGAUAAGAAAGAGGGAAAGCCUAACUUAAAAUAGUUUGUUCUUUUCUAGGUAGAAGGCUGUGGAAAAAAUAAAUCAUUUUGCCUUCAAAAAAAAAAAAAAAUCCAGCAACUUUUUCUUUAAGGUGCUCUGAUGCCCCGUUGUGUGGAGCCGAAACUUACAGCAACAGAAAGAUUUAUGCGUCAGGGAUGUGGUGUUUGCAACUCAAAGAAAUGUCACUCCAAAGCUCUUGCUGUUUGCACAUCAGGUAUGUUCUCUGGUUCUCUGCUGUAUUUGCUGUGGUGGUGUAGCAGCUUUUGUUCACAAGCACUGCCAAUCAGGAUUGGGACCUGUGGCAUGGAGGAGGCAACAGUUGUUUUUACACUAACUCUAGUUAGUCAAAGGGCUGUCGGAGUGUGGAAAUUUCAAAUGCAUCCUGAAAUCCAAUUAGAAUAUUGGCAUGAUACAACAUUUGUGACGGACUUUCUCCACAAAUAA